GGGUGGUAAUGCCGGAUGUCCCACAUGAUCGCAUGUGAUUGUGGGAAAGAUUCUAUCGGCGUGGGAUGGGGUCGCGUCCUAUCAGCUUGUUGGUGAGGUAACGGCUCACCAAGGCUUCGACGGGUAGCCGGCCUGAGAGGGCGACCGGCCACAUUGGGACUGAGAUACGGCCCAGACUCCUACGGGAGGCAGCAGUGGGGAAUAUUGCACAAUGGGCGCACAGCCUGAUGCAGCGACGCCGCGUGAGGGAUGGAGGCCUUCGGGUUGUAAACCUCUUUUGUUUGGGAGCAAGCCUUCGGGUGAGUGUACCUUUCGAAUAAGCGCCGGCUAACUACGUGCCAGCAGCCGCGGUAAUACGUAGGGCGCAAGCGUUAUCCGGAUUUAUUGGGCGUAAAGGGCUCGUAGGCGGCUCGUCGCGUCCGGUGUGAAAGUCCAUCGCUUAACGGUGGAUCUGCGCCGGGUACGGGCGGGCUGGAGUGCGGUAGGGGAGACUGGAAUUCCCGGUGUAACGGUGGAAU
This 518-nucleotide ribosomal RNA is filed under the name uncultured Bifidobacterium sp. RNAcentral describes it as "bacterial SSU rRNA". It matches the Rfam family "Bacterial small subunit ribosomal RNA", at positions 158 to 687 of the family's 1533-position model. Lineage: Bacteria; Bacillati; Actinomycetota; Actinomycetes; Bifidobacteriales; Bifidobacteriaceae. The record is from RNAcentral.